AAAACAUCCUUCCUUUGCAUAAUGAAAUGCUGCUUAUAUAUUAAAUCAAAUCUUCCUUUUAGUUUUCCUUGUUAGUAGAAUAAAGCGAUAGUAAAUAGUAUAACUCGCGAUGAGACAAAUUCUAUUUAUCUUUGUUGUUUUGAUAUGUAAAGUGUCACCUUGUCCAGAGGAAUGUUCCUGUAACGAGACGGUCGUGAGAUGUGACAAUAGAGGACUUACCCACGUACCGGAGAGUAUUCCCGGAGAUACAACUGUACUGCAUCUUGAUGGGAACAGCAUCGAAGAAAUAAAUGCAAAUGUCCUCCAAAGUUUAAAUAACCUAAAGCAAUUAUACUUAGGUUCCAAUCCGUUAAGAUGUGACUGUGGACUAAAACGAACAGUAGAG
Molecule: long non-coding RNA, 385 nt
Organism: Saccostrea cuccullata (small rock oyster)
Lineage: Eukaryota; Metazoa; Mollusca; Bivalvia; Ostreida; Ostreidae
Exons: 3
Source: RefSeq, a predicted model, not a curated record